Molecule: transfer RNA, 68 nt
Filed under: Frigoribacterium sp. CFBP 8751
Lineage: Bacteria; Bacillati; Actinomycetota; Actinomycetes; Micrococcales; Microbacteriaceae
Description: tRNA-Val
Source: RNAcentral
GGUAAGGAGCUGGGCCCCACGCCACGUUUACACCGUGGAUGUCAUCGGUUCGAGCCCGGUAGGGCCCA